Non-coding RNA from Amborella trichopoda, 367 nucleotides. NCBI's taxonomy places the organism in Eukaryota, Viridiplantae, Streptophyta, Magnoliopsida, Amborellales, Amborellaceae. The record is from RefSeq and is a predicted model, not a curated record.
UCCUCCCUUCACACACACACAGAGAUAUGGCUUCGAAGAGUGUUCUGAUUUUUAGUACCAUAGUGGUUGCGUUGCUCCUCAUUUUCUCUAACACUGGCGUUGCUGUUCGAGAUGUACAAGCAUUUAAGCAUGUUCAGAAAUCAGGGAGAGUUGGUUAUUCUAGAGGGAUUAAAGCAAGCAAUGAAGAGAGCCCACCCUACAGCUACGGUGGUCACGGAUCUAAAAUCGGGGCACCCGACUACCCUUAACUUCUAUGCGUAGUCCUCUAGGGCCCAAGAAUAAAGAUGUAAAUCUCAAUUAUCUUGCAAUUCUACAUGAUAAUUAUAUAGAUCAUGAAUGACUACCGGCUCGGAUGUUUGAGCAGCAC